UUGGCUCGUUCUAUAUGGUCAGUCAUCCAAAUAGCUUCUGGCUUGUAUCCUCCCUAUAGUGUUGCUAAUGUAUUUGGCAACUGGUUACAUGGGAUUGAUCACAAGUUUAGAACUCUUCUCAGGGUGGGAGCGCUUGCCAUUAUUUGGUCGCUUUGGCUAUGUAGAAAUGAUAAGGUUUUUAAUGAUAAAAGUACUUCUCUGUUGCAGGUUAUCUACAGAUGUACCGGGACUCUUCGUUUAUGGUCCUCUCUACAACGCGUGGAGAAUCGAGGCCUAUUUACGGAGGUGUGUACACGAUUGGAGGCUACGGCGAGGGAUACUUUUACCCAACAUGGUUGGCAGCAUGAUCUAAGGAUUGGCCCCCCUCCAUAUUAG
This 375-nucleotide ribosomal RNA is filed under the name Triticum aestivum (bread wheat). Its description in RNAcentral is "partial small subunit ribosomal RNA". Lineage: Eukaryota; Viridiplantae; Streptophyta; Magnoliopsida; Poales; Poaceae. The record is from RNAcentral.